UAACAUCGUUUCAAUUUUCCCUUUCGUCUUGAGAGAGAGAAUCGGUGUAUUGCAUCUGAAUUGGAGGGGCUUUGGUUCACAGAAAAUAGGAAACCAAACCCUAAUAUAAGUCCCAAAUCACAAUCACAGCAUCAGAAGAGAGGUCUCUCGCCGAUUGUUUUGUAUCUGCAGUUCACUCCUUACGAAUUCCGAGUAUCUCCGUUUGCUGUGGCCUUUCACUUUCUUCUCUAAUCAGCGCGUAGAACCACAACAACGCUUCGCAGGACCAAAAGAACUGUUAUAGUGUGUACAAACUGCCGGCGAAUAUGGAAGAAGAUGAUUAUGUGGAGUAUGUGCCCGUGGCCAAGCGUCGUGCCUUGGAAGCUCAGAAGAUUCUCCAACGCAAAGGGAAGGCCUCUGCUGUCACUGACGAUGAUUUGGAGAAACAAAGAGUGGCUGAAACUAAGCCCAGUCUUCUGGUUAAAGCGUCGCAGCUGAAACGAGAGCAACCUGAGAUCAGUGUGACCGAGCAGAUUGUUCAACAGGAGAAGGAGAUGAUUGAAAACUUGUCAGAUAGGAAAACCCUCAUGUCUGUCCGCGAAUUGGCCAAGGGGAUUACUUAUACGGAACCUUUGCCUACAGGGUGGAAGCCGCCUUUGCAUGUGAGAAGGAUGUCUAAGAAGGAGUGUGAUUUGAUUCGAAAGCAGUGGCAUAUAAUUGUUGAUGGCGGUGAUAUCCCACCCCCGAUUAAGAAUUUUAAGGAUAUGAGGUUUCCGGAGCCGGUUUUGAAGAAGUUGAAAGCUAAGGGGAUUGUACAACCAACACCCAUUCAGGUGCAAGGUCUGCCUGUUAUCUUAUCUGGGCGGGAUAUGAUUGGGAUUGCAUUCACGGGCUCAGGAAAAACUCUGGUCUUUGUGCUUCCGAUGAUCAUGAUGGCAAUGCAAGAGGAAAUCAUGAUGCCUAUUGUUCCUGGAGAAGGUCCAUUUGGUUUGAUUAUUUGUCCAUCAAGGGAACUGGCAAGGCAGACAUAUGAAGUGAUUGAACAGUUCUUGAUACCUUUGAAGGAAGCUGGAUAUCCAGAGCUCAGGCCUUUGCUCUGUAUUGGUGGAGUGGAUAUGAGAUCGCAGCUUGAUAUUGUGAAGAAGGGUGUUCAUAUUGUUGUUGCCACUCCUGGGAGGUUGAAAGAUAUGUUGGCCAAGAAGAAAAUGAAUCUUGAUAAUUGCAGGUAUUUAACAUUAGAUGAGGCUGAUCGAUUGGUAGAUUUGGGAUUUGAAGAUGACAUUAGAGAAGUUUUUGAUCACUUCAAAGCUCAAAGGCAGACUCUUCUAUUUUCUGCUACUAUGCCUACCAAAAUUCAGAACUUUGCCAGAAGCGCUUUGGUGAAACCUAUUAUUGUCAAUGUGGGACGUGCAGGGGCUGCAAAUCUUGAUGUAAUUCAGGAGGUAGAGUAUGUUAAGCAAGAGGCAAAAAUAGUUUAUCUCCUUGAGUGUCUACAAAAAACCCCACCUCCUGUUCUGAUAUUUUGUGAGAAUAAGGCUGACGUUGAUGACAUCCAUGAAUACCUUCUCUUGAAAGGAGUGGAAGCAGUGGCCAUCCAUGGAGGCAAGGAUCAGGAAGAGAGAGAGUAUGCCAUUGCUGCUUUUAAGGCUGGAAAGAAAGAUGUGUUGGUAGCAACUGAUGUUGCAUCCAAAGGUUUGGAUUUUCCUGAUAUUCAGCAUGUCAUUAACUAUGAUAUGCCAGCUGAAAUUGAAAAUUAUGUCCAUAGGAUUGGAAGGACUGGACGAUGUGGAAAGACUGGUAUAGCGACAACAUUUAUAAACAAGAAUCAAAGUGAGACAACAUUACUUGACUUGAAACACCUCUUGCAAGAAGCAAAGCAAAGGAUUCCCCCAGUUUUGGCUGAGUUGAAUGAUCCAAUGGAAGAUAAUGAAGAGAUCACAGACAUAAGUGGGGUCAAAGGAUGUGCAUAUUGUGGUGGGCUUGGUCAUCGUAUCCGUGAUUGUCCCAAAUUAGAACAUCAGAAGAGCAUGGCGAUAGCAAAUAAUAGAAAGGAUUAUUUUGGAUCUGGAGGUUACAGAGGGGAAAUUUGAAAGGCAUCCUUUGUGUACCAAUUUUCUCUGAACACUACUAGUCUAGGAUGAUUCACAUGGGAAAGUAGCAUAGUCCAGUCAUUUGUUAGGAGUGGAUGCCUUCUGCUCUGCUCACUGCUAGGGUCUCGAUUCUGCAUCUGCAUUGGUUUGGCCCAUAGAUGAUAUCAUUCUCAGCUUUUGACCUGCUUUAACAAAUGUAUGGCAAGUAUGUCUGGUCAAAUACAACCAAUUCACAAAUAUUGGUUUCUGCUGAGUUUGCAUUCAUUCUGCUUGGCACGAGGGCAUUUUUUCUCCAUGAAAUUGAUGUAUUGAGUACAAAGAAUUUCAUCAUCUUUUUCCUUUUUGUGACCCUUUGUAUACUUUCAAGGGACCUGAAGUUUGUUUAGAAUGUCACGGAUGUCUAAUCACUAAUGAGUCUUUGGUUAGAAUUUCCAGGGUUACCAUACCCUUCUGAUGUUUGCUUCUUGGUGCCUUUAUCUGUGUUGAUACACUUGACUUUGGGUCAUUGGAUGGGGAAAAAGAGUAAUUCAGUAUUCUGUAUUUUGGCUAUAUUUGGUAUAUGAGAAUGGGAGUAUACAGCUUGUCUCUGGUUUCUAGAUGUCAAAUGUCCUUGUAAUUUUCACUCAUUGAAAUUUAACAUCGGAUGAUGUUGUGGAAUCUGAACAUCUGCUAAAUUCUUGGGACUUCGACCUUUUCCAAUUCUAAAUUUCUGUAUACUUGUGUCAGGACAAGAACAAUUUAAAUGACAGUGAUACUACUUAUUUGAAUA
Glycine soja is the source of this 2838-nucleotide RNA transcript. It is a transcript of the gene named DEAD-box ATP-dependent RNA helicase 35, with no coding region annotated. The transcript is spliced from 4 exons. The record is from RefSeq and is a predicted model, not a curated record. Lineage: Eukaryota; Viridiplantae; Streptophyta; Magnoliopsida; Fabales; Fabaceae.